UACGAAGGGGGCUAGCGUUGCUCGGAAUCACUGGGCGUAAAGGGUGCGUAGGCGGGUCUUAAGUCAGAGGUGAAAUCCUGGGGCUCAACUCCAGAACUGCCUUUGAUACUGAGGAUCUUGAGUUCGGGAGAGGUGAGUGGAACUGCGAGUGUAGAGGUGAAAUUCGUAGAUAUUCGCAAGAACACCAGUGGCGAAGGCGGCUCACUGGCCCGAUACUGACGCUGAGGCACGAAAGCGUGGGGAGCAAACAGG
RNAcentral lists this ribosomal RNA (252 nucleotides) under uncultured bacterium. RNAcentral describes it as "partial 16S ribosomal RNA". It matches the Rfam family "Bacterial small subunit ribosomal RNA", at positions 524 to 776 of the family's 1533-position model. The record is from RNAcentral.